UUGUCAUCAUCCUCAUGCUUAUAUUGUGAUGAAAGUCAUCUUUGGCUUACGUGCAUAGAUGGACUUGGUAUGAUUAUGUCCAGGGAUCAUUCGGUAUAAUCAUGACCUGUAAUGUUAUAAAUGAUGUGGUAAAAGUCUUCAGUGGCCUGUAGUGCAUUGAUGGACAGUUUUUGGUAUCAUUAUGACCAGGGAUUAUUCGGUAUAAUCAUGAUCAUUGAUGAUUUAAU
Molecule: long non-coding RNA, 227 nt
Filed under: Panax ginseng (ginseng)
Lineage: Eukaryota; Viridiplantae; Streptophyta; Magnoliopsida; Apiales; Araliaceae
Description: long non-coding RNA (PGIN_LNC002394)
Source: RNAcentral